Molecule: long non-coding RNA, 210 nt
Organism: Helianthus annuus (common sunflower)
Lineage: Eukaryota; Viridiplantae; Streptophyta; Magnoliopsida; Asterales; Asteraceae
Exons: 3
Source: RefSeq, a predicted model, not a curated record
AGAGUAUUAAAGCGUUUCGGUAGUAAUAUCAUAUUCUUCAAUGGCUUACGAGACCCUUGGAGUGGUGGCGGGGUGCUAAAGAGUAUAUCGAAAAGCAUUAUUGCUAUAGUUGAGAAAGAAGGGGCACAUCAUGUCGACCUAAGAUUUUCAACAAAUGAAGAUCCGGAAUGGCUUCGAGAUGUAAGAAAUAGAGAGAUUAGUAUCAUGAAA